UACAGAGGGUGCAAGUGUUGUUCGGAAUCAUUGGGCGUAAAGGGCGCGUAGGCGGUUAGAUAAGUUAGAUGUGAAAGCCCUGGGCUUAACUCAGGAAAUGCAUUUGAUACUGUCUGACUAGAGUUCGGUAGAGGAUAGUGGAAUUCCCGGUGUAGAGGUGAAAUUCGUAGAUAUCGGGAGGAACACCAGUGGCGAGAGCGGCUAUCUGGGCCGACACUGACGCUGAGGCGCGAAAGCGUGGGGAGCAAACAGG
RNAcentral lists this ribosomal RNA (253 nucleotides) under uncultured bacterium. RNAcentral's name for it is "partial 16S ribosomal RNA". It matches the Rfam family "Bacterial small subunit ribosomal RNA", at positions 524 to 776 of the family's 1533-position model. The record is from RNAcentral.